UUUCCGUAGGUGAACCUGCGGAAGGAUCAUUAUUGUAUAACCGAGGUGCGAGGGCUGUCGCUGACCCGAAAGGUCGUGCACGCCCGAGUGCCCUCACACACAUCCAUCUCACCCCUAUGUGCACCACCGCGUGGGUCACCCUUUGGCUUGUUCGGAGGGGGGCUUACGUUUUCACACAAACUUUGUAUGCAGUGUAGAAUGUAUUUUUUGUUUUUGCGAUCACGCAAUCAAUACAACUUUCAACAACGGAUCUCUUGGCUCUCGCAUCGAUGAAGAACGAGC
This 282-nucleotide unclassified non-coding RNA is filed under the name plant metagenome. RNAcentral's name for it is "partial contains small subunit ribosomal RNA, internal transcribed spacer 1, and 5.8S ribosomal RNA". The stretch from base 235 to 282 matches the Rfam family "5.8S ribosomal RNA", at positions 1 to 49 of the family's 154-position model. The record is from RNAcentral.